This is a long non-coding RNA of Ictalurus punctatus (channel catfish), 450 nucleotides long. NCBI's taxonomy places the organism in Eukaryota, Metazoa, Chordata, Actinopteri, Siluriformes, Ictaluridae. The record is from Ensembl.
CUGCCUGGACACAUCCUACUCACUCUUACUGGAGGUGAUGAAGAAGAGUGGAAGCAGCAGCGUCACUGGCAUGCUGAACUGACUGCAGUGUUGAAUAGAGUGAGUGUGUUUAUGGCAAGGCAGCAGUGGGAGCAAGGUCGGUCCACACCUCUGGGUGAUGAGCAAGCGGAUGAAAAGACAUGGCAGAAGGAGCUGUGGGAGCAAUUAAAUCAGAGAUACACCGAGCUGGACGUUGCUCUUUCUUCACUACACUGCACCUGCAAGAUCAGCCAGCUCCGUGCUGCUACUGCAGAGAUCUCAAGGAGACGACAUUUCCCGUGCACAUGACAGUCCCCAAACUGUCAGGUGAGGACUGGGCCAGUUUGCUGGAGCUCUCGCCACUCUUCCGGCUUAUCCAAGAUGUGGAACAGCGGCUCAGAGACCAAGCAAAGAACGCCGGCCUGCUUAGCG